UAAAGACCUAAAUGUGAAAAGUACAACGUUAAAGCUUCUAAAAAGAAUAUAGAUGAACAUUGGGAAGGGGCAGAGUUUCUUAAUGACACAAAAAGUGUACACCAGAGGGGAAAGGGUUGCUUAUUUGAUGACAUGUUACAUUAUGUGCCAGAAGUCUCCAUCAACAAAGUGAGAAAAUGAGCCUCACACUAUUCGCAAACCAUUUAACCAAUGAGGAUUAGUCUCCAACACGUCCAAAGGACACCUGCCAAUAGAUUUUUCUCUAGAUUAAAAAAUCUACCUUUGACUGUUAAUAAGAUUGUGUUCAUGUUCACUGAAUUUUUACUAUUUCUUUUAUGAAUUCCUACUCAAAUAUUUUUGGGGUGAUUUCAAUGUCCCUUUUUCUUAGUAACUGUUAAAGCUCUUUAUACAUUUUACGAAUAUUUUCCGCCGAAAGUGCCAGACUCAAACUGGCUUAAUUAACAAAUGAAUGUAUUACUUCACAAAGGUCCAGUGCUGAGUGAGGCACCCGGGGCCCUUCCUUCCACCUCUGUGCUCUGCCGGGGGCUUCAGCUGCAGACCAGCCCCUUUCACGUCCUAAAAUGGCAGCAGCACCUCCAAGCACCACAUGCAGACCCACCACUGCCCAGACGUCGGGAGGCUCUGCCUGCCGCUUCUUCAAUGAGAGGAGACCUGUCCCAGAAGUCCCCUGCAGACAUCCCUCAUUGGCUCGGGUUGGUCACAUGUCCCUUCCUCCAUCCAUCACUGGCAAGAGAGGGAUUUAUUACAGUUAGUUAAGACUCAUCCUCUGGGGGUAGCACAGCUGUUGGGAGUCAGUCACCAUGACCCUCUGUUGAUGAGUAGAAGCUGCACUUUGUCACAUAAAGUGUAUUUUCCCAGCUUCCCAUGUCUUGUAGUAUGACCAGAUAUCAGGUGCCAUAUUUCCCAGUGCUCAGAUGCCUCAGUUAAAAGGGGCAUUAAUCCAGUAGCCUUUCAGAAGAGGAGAGGACUAUAUUCCCUGCUCACGUGAAGGACUAAACAAGCCCUCACAACACAUCCAGUCGGAGUCACUUUCUUCAAGAUCACAGAGUGUGAGUCUGAGUCUUGCUCACAGGCUCCCCUUCUCUUUUGGACGUGGGUCAGGAAACACAGCAUCACGGCCACCACUGCUUUCUGUCACCCUGUUUCUAGCCUUGGCCCUUUGGGCCCCUUUAAAACCAACAGUGUAAUUUCAAAGCAUAUGAAAGGAUUUGGGGGUGAGUAGGUCACACCAAUCCCUGCCGGCUUUCAAAUGUUUAUGAUCUACUUUAGGAAGUUGGGCAAAUUCUUUUCACUUCUUAGACUAGUAAAGCACGGUUAUGUUAGUGUACAAAUUCAAAUGGUAUUUAGACAAACAGGGUAAAAAUAAGGUGGAAGUCUUUCAAUAACCCCUAAUUCCUAAAUUUAGUUCCCUUCCCAAGGGAAUCACUGUGUGAGGUGUGAACCUUCCAAAACGUUACCUGUGGCUUGACGGGCACACAGUUUGUGUAACCCCGGUUAUGGGUUUUACAUAUAGUAAAUCAUCCUGUAUAUACUCAGUAGCUUUUUUCAUAUAAGUUUGUUUUGGAGAUCUUCCCAUGUGAGUUCCCUAAUGGUGGACAUUUAGGUUGUUUCUAAUUAUUUGCUCUUACAAACAGUGCUAUAAUUAACAUCCUUGUAAAUGUCUCUUUGUGCAUAUGGGCAAGCAUUUCUUUAGGGUAGCUAUCUAUGGUUUGGCAAUUUCUGCUGUCUUUAAUUGCAUUGCCUGGUAUCUGGCAGACGAUCUUCUGCAUGUACAAUAACUUUUCAUGUCCGUGCUCCAUUAUAGUGUAAGUUCUAAAAAGAUGUUUUAGGCAACAAUUAGGAAUCUAAGUUUAAGUUCAGAUUCUGUGCAGACUGCUAUGGGUAGCUGAGGUGACACUUGAAUGAACCGCUACACGUGGCGAAGUUUACACUUGCACAGGCAGUGGGUAAGGUCUCCUCUCCCCCCACCCCGACGUCCGUUGCAAGGCACAUCAUGACUUUUAAAACAUUAAAAUGUGGGGGAAAUGCAUCUUAGGACCAAGGAGUGAAGAUAUUUUGUUUUCCCCAAAGGAAGAGCCCUAUAGCCCCGUUGCUUCACCUUCGCGUUUGAAUGGUCCUUUCCUGGGAGCCGAUGUAACUGCUCUUCCACAGACUCAUUUCCCCUCCAGGGGGAGUGUUUCUGGACUCCUAAUUCUGCCUCUCUGCGUGGCUGCUCCUGUGCCAAGAUCAGGGGGCAAGCUCCCCUAUCGUCUUCUUUUGGGGGACUUUUUUUUGCACAUUUGUCUUUCUGUCUACUGCUCUUUCUUCUUCCCCACACUGUCCCUUUGGCACAGGGUGCUUCAUUAGCUGUUCACAAUCUGCAUGAUUUUGCAUCACGAUGGGUCUGAUGUGAGAACAUCUGCAGCAGUCAAGAGCAUAUUUUCCUCAGGACUUGACACCGAGCUUGCCAUCAGUGUGAAGCGAUCCCCCCCCUCCCUCCCUCAUCUUGUGACAUCUCUCAGCAUAGCUUCUCCAACAUCAGUUAUGCCUGAGUCUUGAGUGGUGUCAAAUCUGAGUUGAAAAUUUGCCAGCUUCUUUAACAUGAUCACUAACAGACUGCUUAAUUAACCUGCUGAUACCGUCAAUAAUAGAUCUUGCUGGUGAGCUAGAAAGGAGACCCAUGGCCCACAGCUGGUCUCUCUUUCUCUCUCUUUUUUUCAUUUGCUUAGGCUCUCAGUGCUCGUGACUCGGGAGCUGGACUUGCCAGGAGUGGGGAUAGGAGGGACCAGGGAGGCUUGAAAGGAAUAUGGCAGAAAUGAAUGUUCUGGAUGAGAUCAUGGAAAUGAACUUGCUGAAACCAUCUCGUGUUCUCAUUGCUCAGAGACUCGGAUGGCUAGGAACCUGUGCAUACAGCAGGUGCUCAAUAAAACGGGUCACCAGUGUACGGUCAACAGAAGAGAUUACAGGGCGUGUGCCAUGCAGCUUAGAUGAGAAGAGGGCUUUCUCGUGCCCAAGCUGUCCUGGAGGGGCUGUCUGAGGGGAAGGACGCUGUUCACUUCUUUUCCUGCUUUAUGUUUCAUCCCUAGUGGUUUUUGAACCAAAGUUGUACUCUGUCUGCUGUGGCUACAUUUCACAUCUUGGAAAUUGCAGAGAGUAAGCAAGAUGUCAUGUCUGGGACUGGUUAGCCACCACCUCCAAAUACUCUCUUCUUUGUCUCCUGCACCAGUGCGUGCGCGCGCACGCACAGCACAGGGCUAGAGAGGUUCCAGCUGUCCCCGGCUUCCCCUGACCUGGUGGGGGCUUGGGUGCAGACGCUGACGUUCCGUGUGAGCUCAGCCAGUGCCCAGAGAUCCCACAGAGACGCUAAAUGCAGCACGUCCUGUCAUACCCAGGGAAGCCUAUAAGGGUGGCUGCGUCGGGUCGCAGAAUGAGCUGGUGGCGCUGCCUGAAGGCAGGUGCUCAUCCCCUGGAACGCGUGCCUUUAGCUUUGCCUUUUCUGCAGCGGUGGUGGUGGUGCGGUGCUGCUGUGGCAGUGAUGUGAGGGGUCCUCAGAGGGCAGAGAUCAAUGUCUUUCAGGGCAGAAUACCCCCAUAUCCUCUCCAAUGGUUUUGUUGGGUCUCCUGGGAACCAAGGGCCUGGCAGCCCCAGAGGUGUGAGGGAUGCAGAGUGUUCCUGCCGCCACUAGAGGGCGAGUCACUAACACACAGGCCAGGUGUCCACUUCCCAAGGCCACGCUGGGGGCCUUUCUGGGCCCUAAACCCUGGGCUGGGGGCACCCAGGUCUGGCAGGAGCUUGCCUCUGGGGGUGAGGACGGGGAGAUUCAGAGCCAGGACUGUAACUCAAGCCCAGCUGGCCCCAAAUCCGGUCUCCCAACCUCUCCUUCUUUACCUCUGGUUCCCCUUCGCUUUCUGUCAGUCUCUGUGGAAGACAAGGGUUUCUCAACGUUUCGGACCAGAUAAUUCUUUGUGGUGGGAGCUGUGCAUUGUAGGGCGUUGAGCAGCACCUCUGGUCUCUCCACACGAGAUGACAGUAGCCACCCCCACCCCAGGUUGAGAUCAUCAAAAAUGUCUCCAAACCUUGCCAGAUGUCGCACGAGCUCGCCCCUGGCUGUGUGAGGCUGGUGAGCGAUGCUGCUGUGAGGGCAGGAGGGUUCCGGUGCAGAAGAGGUCUGCCCACGGUUACCACCGCGGCUGAGUGUCGUGUGCAAACACGAGAGCUACUCAAAGAUGGCAUAUGUGCUGUAAAUACAUUUUAAAACCGUA
Ailuropoda melanoleuca (giant panda) is the source of this 4262-nucleotide long non-coding RNA. RefSeq lists it as uncharacterized. The record is from RefSeq and is a predicted model, not a curated record. Lineage: Eukaryota; Metazoa; Chordata; Mammalia; Carnivora; Ursidae. The transcript is spliced from 2 exons.